UACGAAUUGUGCAAACGUUAUUCGGAAUCACUGGGCUUAAAGGGUGCGUAGGCUGCCAUGAAGGUCUGGUGUGAAAUCCAACGGCUCAACCGUUGAAUUGCACUGGAAACCACAUGGCUGGAGUAGGACAGAGGUGAGCGGAACUGAUGGUGGAGCGGUGAAAUGCGUUGAUAUCAUCAGGAACACCGGUGGCGAAAGCGGCUCACUGGGUCCUAACUGACGCUGAGGCACGAAAGCCAGGGGAGCAAACGGG
Molecule: ribosomal RNA, 253 nt
Filed under: uncultured bacterium
Lineage: Bacteria
Description: partial 16S ribosomal RNA
Rfam family: Bacterial small subunit ribosomal RNA
Source: RNAcentral